Molecule: ribosomal RNA, 427 nt
Filed under: Meotica filiformis
Lineage: Eukaryota; Metazoa; Arthropoda; Insecta; Coleoptera; Staphylinidae
Description: bacterial SSU rRNA
Rfam family: Eukaryotic small subunit ribosomal RNA
Source: RNAcentral
AUAGCGUAUAUUAAAGUUGUUGCGGUUAAAAAGCUCGUAGUCGAAUCUGUGUCCCGCGCCGCUGGUUCAUCGCUCGCGGUGUCCAACUGGCGUGUCUCGCGGGACGUCCUGCCGGUGGGAGCUCGGGUGUUCGUUUCGGCGUUCAUUCGGGACCCAAUUCGUAUUCGUCUUGCACGGGUACGUAUCUCAUCACGGUGCUCUUUAUUGAGUGUCGGGGUGGGCCGGCACGAUUACUUUGAACAAAUUAGAGUGCUUAAAGCAGGCCAAUUUUGCCUGAAUAUUCUGUGCAUGGAAUAAUGGAAUAGGACCUCGGUUCUAUUUUGUUGGUUUUUGGAACCACGAGGUAAUGAUUAAUAGGAACGGAUGGGGGCAUUCGUAUUGCGACGUUAGAGGUGAAAUUCUUGGAUCGUCGCAGGACGGACAUAAG